This 1973-nucleotide long non-coding RNA is filed under the name Homo sapiens (human). RNAcentral's name for it is "HSALNT0386120". The record is from RNAcentral. Lineage: Eukaryota; Metazoa; Chordata; Mammalia; Primates; Hominidae.
GUCACUAAAAGGAACCAGCCCCAGCUACUUCACUGCAGGCUGGUGCCCUGGUGAAGGUGAAUCAGUCAGAGGAGUGCUGACUGCCCAUGGGGCUGCACCAUAUCAUGGUUCCCACUAGCAAUAUAUGAGAGUUCCAGUUGCUCCACAACCUCGCCAACAUAUGACAGGCCAGUCAUGGAAUUUCACGUGAUUUCUGGGGUGGGGGCGGAAGGAAGGCGGUGUUAAGAAUCAUCGGAGCUGUGCCCCAGUCAGCCCACGGCGGUGCAGGCAGGAUGGGCCCUCACUGGGGCAGCUGGAGGAGCACGGACUGCCCAGCCGGCGGAUAGGUGAUGUUCCGAGAGCGUGAGAGCUGGUACGCGAUGUCCUCCGCAGCUUCCAGCUUGCAGAGCUCCAUCAGGCGGUCCCUUGCGGUGGCCAGUGAGUUGGCAAUCAGCUCAGCUGCCUUGGAGUAGCCCUCAGCAGAGAUGAUGGCCACCUUUUUCUGCUGCUCAGCCUUUUCCACCACAAAUCUGGCCCUCUGCUUCCUGCUGAGCUACCUGUUUGGCUUCCACCGCUUCUGUGAACUCCUUCCCGAAGGUCAGAUGUGUCAAGGACACGUCAUCCAGGAUGAGCCCAAAGGUGGCUGCUCGCUCUGUAAGUAAGGUCAUUGCUCACCUACCUGGAGACCAGCUCUCUCUGGGUGAUUAGUUCUCCAGCAUCAAAGCUAGCCACCACGGACUUGAGGAUCUUGGUCGUGACGGAUGGCAGCACCUGCUCAUCAUAGUCCUCUCUGAUGCUGGUGAAGAUGCAAGGAAACUGGCUAGUGACAGGCCAGAAGAGGAUGAGCAGUGUGAUGUUGACAUUCUGUAAAUCUUUGCUACCAGUGAUGGCUGGCACAUUACGUGGUCGAGAAGGGCAGUCAAAGAUAAUUGGUUUCUGUACCCAUGGAAUGAGAAAGUGAGUCCUUUCCCCUACCACAAUGUCCUGUACUCCACGGAAUAGGUCAAAGAUGACAGCUCUGUGCCCAGCAUCCACAUUCUAUAAGGCAGAGUUCAUUUCACCAGGCCUCCUGCAACAGCUAAGGCCAGGCCAAACUUGCUGAUGAACUCAAACACUUUGGCAGCCAUGUUUUCUUCUGCUGGACCCCCUCACACCUGCUUCCACGUUGACCUCCACAUGAAUUCCCCCGCCUCAGUUUCUUAAUUUGAAAAUGAGGAAAACGAAAAUACCAACAUCAAACGUAUAUUUUGAGGAUUAAACAGUUAAAAUAAGUAAAACAAUUAGAACAGUCUUCAUAACAUAGCAACCAACCUUUUAGUUUUAGCUAUUAUUACUAUUAUUGCAGUCCCUAAAAUUUAUAUAAGAAAGGUAUGAUAAGUUUCAGAAGUUGGGUAGCAUUCAUCUGCAAAACCGUCUAACGUUUUUCUUUCUGUGGGUAUGUUUUAGCUACUUAUUCAAUUUCUUUAAUGUCAUUAAUCUACUUGAUUUUAUUUUUUUCUUCUUGACUUGCUUUUGGCAAGUUAUAUUUUUCUAGCAGUUUGUCCAUUUAAGUUUUCUUUUCUUUUUUUCUUUUUUAGAGACAGGAUCUCACUGUCUUGCUGAGCCUAUAGUGCAAUGGUGCAAUCAUAGCUCACUGCAGCCUCUAAAUCUUGGGCUCAAGUGAUUCUCCUGCCUCAGCCUCCCGAAUAGCUGAGACUACAGGUGUGCACCACUGUACCUGGCUAAUAUUUAAAGUUUUUGUAGAGACAAAGUCUCGCUUUGUUGCUCAGGGUGGUCUCAAACUCCUGGCUUUAAGCCAUCCUCCUGUCUCGACUUCCCAAAGUGUUCGGAUUCCACGUGUGCGCCAUCAUGCCCUACGCAUUUCAUUUAAAUCUUCAAAUUUAUUGGCCUAAUUUUUAUAGCAUAUUCUUAUUAAUGUCUAAUGUUGCUAUAUCUGUAUUUAUGGCUUCCUUUUUAUUCCUAAUAUCAUUUUGGGGUAUGUUGGAUGCUUAGUU